AAUUAAACCAUAUGAAAUGGAGCCACUUAAAAGAAGUUUAUUGAGAUCAUCACCAAUGAUGGGUCCUUCAUCAGAAGCGAAAGUUUAUCAUCCAGCCACAAACCUUCAGCCAUCAUUGCCACCAAUUUCUGAACCAGUACCGGUAGAGCCGUUGGAAACUCCGAAAAUAGCUGGAAUGUUUGUUGCGAAACGAGUUCAACGGAAAACCAUCCAAGACUUAAAAGAAAUAAAGACGAGAAUUGCGUGAAAACAG
Pararge aegeria (speckled wood butterfly) is the source of this 253-nucleotide long non-coding RNA. RefSeq lists it as uncharacterized. The record is from RefSeq and is a predicted model, not a curated record. Lineage: Eukaryota; Metazoa; Arthropoda; Insecta; Lepidoptera; Nymphalidae. The transcript has 2 exons.